AUUUAUCUGAUCAGAAAAAGACUGCAGAUUCCUUUGCAUCUAUCAUUACUGAAAAUGAAGAAAAACCUUCAUAUGAGAAACUAGAAGCAAGAGAACUCAUUGUUUAUCUGGAAAAUCAGCAUAUUCCCUCACAAGAAAAUUCCGAAGAAGCAUGGCGGAUCUUAAAAAAUUAUUUAACCGCUAAUGUUUACGUGGCAGGAGAAUCCUACAAAACACGGACUUAUUAUGAGCAAAUUUUAAUUAACACCGCCAGUGCCACUUUUGAGCACAGCCCUCUCGGUGAGUCCACCCCCGGAGUACAUGGCUACUCUAAAAUAGUCAUCAAAAAGCUUAUCCCUAUUGAAGAAUGGGGAAUUUCCUCUAUGACGCAACGGAGCCUUCCCAUGGGACCGCAAGGACAGACUAUGGCAAAUUUCACCUACUGGGAUUACAUCAAAGCCUUUACCUCUGUAUUAUACUAUAAUAAUUACAAACAUAAACAUACCUGGUUCAUCAAAAUUUGUCCCAAAGUUUUUGAGAAACCAAUUCCAAAUUGGUUCAUUCAUUGGUGGACAAAUCACGGCCCAUCGGUCAAAAUUCUGCCCACAGAAUAUGCUUCCCUAUAUAACUCUUGGAAAAAAUCCUCUCCAUUUCUAACCGAAUUAUAUCUAUCUGACCAUAUCUGCAAAUUAGACACAAUCGAUCAAAUGUAUUUUUAUAUUGAAUUCUCUAUUCCCUGGAUGAAAAUAUUCGAAAUCCAGACCUUACUAUAAAUCCAAACACUCUAGGCAUCGGAGUAAGGAAGAGCGCGAAGCUCGAAAGUCCUUCCGAAAGUCUACUAGAUUUGCUAAAAAUCAUUCGAAACGUGAUUUAGCAAAAAUCAAAUGCUAUAAAUGUCAUCAAUACGGUCAUAUUGCUCCCAAUUGCAAAUUGCAAAAACUUAAGUCAUUAGGACUUUCUGACGAAGUUCAUGACCAAGUCUAUAAUUUAUUAUAUACCUCUGACUCUGAAUCAGCUUCUAAUUCUGAAAAUGAUUUUGAAUUACCUAAUUCCGAUAGCGAGCAAAAUCAGACUAAUAAAUGUGAUGACUGUAAUAAUGAUUUGUGCAAUUGUGAUGAAAUGAUGUACAAACUCCAAGCGCAAUUCGAAGACCUAGACCUUGAUGUUAAAACUCUCACCGCUGAAAAUAUUCUUGAAUUACUUAAAGAAGUUUCGGACGAAAAACUUCGUGAGAAAAUCCUCAAUCUUGCUACCCAAAAAACUUCUGCUUCUUCUAGUACGUCUAGAGAUAACACUUUCGAAAAUCCAUCUAUGUCUUAUUCUUUAGCUGAAGUAAACCGACGGCUUGCUAUAAGUAAAACUCCUGGUAGAGACACCACUUUUGACGAUUUAAAACUCGAAGUUGAAAAACUCAAAAGGGAAAUUAUUUCGCUACAACAAAAUCAAAUGGUUACUAAUCAUCGACUUUCAAAACUCGAAGAAACAGCGAACUUUUCACAAGGAAAAGAAAAGGAUUUUGAAAUCUCAAAAAAUUCUGAGGAUACUCUUCACCUUGAAAAUUAUAAUACCAAAAAUUUAAAAAAUGAUUCUUUUCUAGGGAUGAUGCAAAUUGUCUCUUCCCAUAAAUGGUAUAUUAAUUGUACCAUAUUAAUUAAUAAAAACUUCUUUAUUACUAAUGUUGCUAUGAUUGAUAGUGGUGCGGACGUUAGUUGUAUUCAAGAAGGUCUGAUUCCCACCAAAUAUUUUGAAAAAACUACUCAUGUUAUUAGAUCUGCGUCUGGACAUUCUCUUGAUAUUAAUUAUAAACUACCUAACACGCAUAUUUGUCGAGACAAGGUAUGUAUUCCUCAUUUCUUUUUCUUGGUCAAAAAUCAAAUUUAUCCGCCUAUUAUUUUAGGUACUCCUUUCAUAAAUGCUAUUUAUCCCUAUACGCAUAUUGAUGCCAGAGGUUUUACGGCUACAUAUAAAAAUCAGCCAAUUUCGUAUCCCUUUAUUACUCAUCCAGUCACUAGGGACAUAAACGCUCUUACUAAUAUAAAGCAAAGUCAGCUUAAUUUCUUACAAUUAGAAAUAAUGAGCAUUAAUAUUGCCGACACCAUGAAAUCGGUUAAAAUAAAAGAAAAAAUAAAAACUAUUUCUUCCCAAUUAAUGCUUGACAUCUGUGCUGAUCAUCCAAACGCGUUCUGGAAUCGAAAGAAACAUAUUGUUUCUCUUCCAUAUGAAGAAAAUUUCAGCGAAGACAAGAUCCCUACCAAAUCUCGACCCUGUCAAAUGAAUACAAACUUGGUCGAAUUCUGCAAAACAGAAAUUGAUAGUCUCCUUCAAAAGGGACUUAUUAAACCCUCCAAAUCUCCUUGGUCUUGUACUGCUUUUUAUGUUAAUAAUGCUGCUGAAAAGGAACGGGGUAUUCCUCGGCUAGUUAUCAAUUAUAAACCUCUGAAUAAAGUUUUUAUCAUUUACAGGAUCUCUUAGGCCGCGGCUGGCCGCGGCCUACCAGACCAAGCAAUAAUAUCGGAUUAAGCUAAAGUCGGAAAACCGAACCGAAGCACCAACUGAAAUAACAAAGAAAUUUCAGAGUUUCUGACUGUAUGGUAAAUCUUUUACCCGAACAAGGGGCCUGUCAGAGAUCAAACCGUUUUUUGUUAGCCCAUGUGUCUAGUUGUUCUAAUUGUGCAAAAAUCGCCCUUCUUUUCAGGUGUACGGGCUUCAAGGGCACAACUCACUAGACGGAGUCACAGAGACAGAGCUGUCGUAAAACUGUUGAUCUCGACUGUACCUCCAUUUCGGAACCAAGUCGGGAAACUAUAAAACUUCUUAUAUUAUCUAAGUAGAGUCUGGAUCUUUCAUAGUUCGUAUACUUCGAGAGGUUAGAGCUGUUGUAUGAACAUAAAAAGGAGUCUAGCCGGACAUAGUCACGGCGUAGAUCUGGGAGAAUUAAGGAAGAUAAUAAAGUAAAAAGUAAAAAUUAAAUAUGUAUGUACCUUGCCGGAGAGUCGCCGGACUAUAUCCACAAAGCCAACUUUAAACUUUUAUUGCUUUCUUAAGAUUAUUACAAGAGAAAAGGAGAGAAAUCCUAUUAAUUCCUGCUUGAGAGUAAGUAUGAACAUUGGAAAGCUAAAUUCAUUGACGGACUUCCCCCUCUAUUUGCUGAACGUGUUUGAAAAACUCUUAGAGGCUCUUAUGGCGAAAUUCCUUAUUCUGAAAAAACUUAUGGUCAACUAAUUGUCGCUUGUACACAAGAAGGCUUAGCCCUCUGUAAUGAGCUAAAGUUAGCUAGACAAGUCAAGCUAGAUAAGCUCAGAGAAAAAUCUCAAUUGGGCGACUUCUGUGAACAAUUUGGCAUGGAUAAACCCUUGGUUCAAAAAUCCCGCAAAUAUUCGAAAUCCAGACCUUACUAUAAAUCCAAACACUCUAGGCAUCGGAGUAAGGAAGAGUGCGAAGCUCGAAAGUCCUUCCGAAAGUCUACUAGAUUUGCUAAAAAUCAUUCGAAGCGUGAUUUAGCAAAAAUCAAAUGCUAUAAGUGUCAUCAAUAUGGUCAUAUUGCUCCCAAUUGCAAAUUGCAAAAACUUAAGUCAUUAAGACUUUCUGAAGAAGUUCAUGACCAAGUCUAUAAUUUAUUAUAUACCUCUGACUCUGAAUCAGCUUCUAAUUCUGAAAAUGAUUUUGAAUUACCUAAUUCCGAUAGCGAGCAAAAUCAGACUAAUAAAUGUGAUGACUGUAAUAAUGAUUUGUGCAAUUGUGAUGAAAUGAUGUACAAACUCCAAGCGCAAUUCGAAGACUUAGACCUUGAUGUUAAGACUCUCACCGCUGAAAAUAUUCUUGAAUUACUUAAAGAAGUUUCGGACGAAAAACUUCGUGAGAAAAUCCUCAAUCUUGCUACCCAAAAAACUUCUGCUUCUUCUAGUACGUCUAGAGAUAACACUUUCGAAAAUCCAUCUAUGUCUUAUUCUUUAGCUGAAGUAAAUCGGCGGCUUGCUAUAAGUAAAACUCCUGGUAGAGACACCACUUUUGACGAUUUAAAACUCGAAGUUGAAAAACUCAAAANNN
This 4026-nucleotide long non-coding RNA is filed under the name Capsicum annuum. Its description in RNAcentral is "long non-coding RNA (CANN_LNC019833)". Lineage: Eukaryota; Viridiplantae; Streptophyta; Magnoliopsida; Solanales; Solanaceae. The record is from RNAcentral.